UAUAAUCUAGACCAAUUUCAAUAAUUCAAUAGAUUGUGUCUGGCAACCAGUAAGAUUCCUCGGUUGCAAUGGAAAGGCUUGUAUGGAUCAUCAGCAGUGCCUGUGUCGUUGUAGAAGCAUUGCAUUAAGAAAGAGAAAAUUCAUUAUCUCUCUCUUAAUUCAACAGCUUUUAGUGAACACUGUUGAUGAAAAAAUGGCUGAAGAAGAUUACAUGCCACAAAGAAAAGAGAAAAUGCUGAGAUUUGUUACCAUGUAUGUUGACAAAGAUCAUGCUUAAGUUCUCCAAUAUACUUACAUUUUUCGCACUCAACCUUUACACAAAAAGAGAAGAAAAUAUGAAAUGAAACCUAAUAUUCAAGUUUGUGACUAUUAACAUAACAUGACAUGAUAACAAAAAUUGAGCAACACUAUAGCCUUAAUUAAUAUUCAAGUUUAUCAUCCCACAUUAGAAGCAAAACAGUGCACCUCCACAUUAUAUACAGUCUAGUUUUCUGCUCCCUGAAUUGCCUUGAACACCGUCGCAUCAAUCGAGGCUUUUCUAUUCUCAUUGAUAAUGAUUGUCUACUCUUGCUAUAUAUAGAUAUGAUAUUAUAGCUAUAACUCUUAUAGUAUAAAACACAAGAACUUAUGAUUAUAUAUAGAAGAAGAAGGUAGUGAUGAAUUAUGAUUAGUGAAAAAUGUGUCAGAACACGUAGGAACCGACAAGGGUGGCCCCUAACCUAAUAGAUAUGAAAACGACAAAGCAGUCUUCGUCACAUUGUCUCUCUCCCAAAUAGACUUUGCUUCAACAGCUCAUCCUUGUAGGAUUGCCCAACCCUGUCUGUCUCUACUCUCUACAAUCUAAUACUCAAUACUAUACUAUAUACGAAUUUCUGCCUCAUUUUCAGGCUUCCAUUUUGUUAUUUCCAUGUUGAUAUAUCAAGUAUCAUAUCAACAAACACCUAUGUAUUCCAGCUAGGAUAUUUUAUUAAUUAUUUUUACAAUAAUGUGGUGGAGAAUCAAUGGUAGGUUCUUUUAAUUAAUACUAAAAGUAUUUCAUAUUAUUGAAUCAAACAAUGAAAUGACUUUCAUUGAACUGUACAUUGUGAUUAUAAGCUUUUAAAUAAUAGAUAUAUUGUAUAGUUAAAAUUGAAAUUCAACUUACAGAAUUGCCCUAAGGUGGUGGGGAGAGUGAUUUUACAUUACUAGCACAUAUAUUUUUCAACCACCAAUUUCGU
RNAcentral lists this long non-coding RNA (1217 nucleotides) under Medicago truncatula (barrel medic). RNAcentral's name for it is "long non-coding RNA (MTRU_LNC002488)". The record is from RNAcentral. Lineage: Eukaryota; Viridiplantae; Streptophyta; Magnoliopsida; Fabales; Fabaceae.